AGUGAACGCUGGCGGUAGGCCUAACACAUGCAAGUCGAACGGCAGCACAGUAAGAGCUUGCUCUUACGGGUGGCGAGUGGCGGACGGGUGAGGAAUACAUCGGAAUCUACUUUUUCGUGGGGGAUAACGUAGGGAAACUUACGCUAAUACCGCAUACGACCUACGGGUGAAAGCAGGGGAUCUUCGGACCUUGCGCGAUUGAAUGAGCCGAUGUCGGAUUAGCUAGUUGGCGGGGUAAAGGCCCACCAAGGCGACGAUCCGUAGCUGGUCUGAGAGGAUGAUCAGCCACACUAGAACUGAGACACGGUCCAGACUCCUACGGGAGGCAGCAGUGGAGAAUAUUAGACUAUGGGCGCAAGCCUGAUCCAGCCAUACCGCGUGGGUGAAGAAGGCCUUCGGGUUGUAAAGCCCUUUUGUUGGGAAAGAAAAGCAGCAGGUUAAUACCCCGCUGUUCUGACGGUACCCAAAGAAUAAGCACCGGCUAACUUCGUG
Molecule: ribosomal RNA, 492 nt
Filed under: uncultured bacterium
Lineage: Bacteria
Description: partial 16S ribosomal RNA
Rfam family: Bacterial small subunit ribosomal RNA
Source: RNAcentral